Molecule: non-coding RNA, 23 nt
Filed under: Rattus norvegicus (Norway rat)
Lineage: Eukaryota; Metazoa; Chordata; Mammalia; Rodentia; Muridae
Source: RNAcentral
UGAUUCUUGGUGAGAAGCAGGGA